This 809-nucleotide ribosomal RNA is filed under the name uncultured bacterium. RNAcentral describes it as "bacterial SSU rRNA". It matches the Rfam family "Bacterial small subunit ribosomal RNA", at positions 8 to 849 of the family's 1533-position model. The record is from RNAcentral.
AGAGUUUGAUCAUGGCUCAGAUUGAACGCUGGCGGCAUGGCUAAAACAUGCAAGUCGAACGCGAAAGGGGCUUCGGCCCCGAGUAGAGUGGCGAAAGGGUGAGUAAUGCGUUCCUACGUGCCUCGAGGUCAGGGAUAGCCAGGGGAAACUCUGGGUAAUACCUGAUGUGGUCUCCGGAUCAAAGAUUUAUCGCCUCGAGAGCGGGGAACGUCCUAUCAGGUUGUUGGUGAGGUAACGGCUCACCAAGCCGAAGACGGGUAGCGGGUGUGAGAGCAUGGCCCGCCACAUCGGGACCGAGACACUGCCCGGACUCCUACGGGAGGCUGCAGUAACGAAUCUUCCGCAAUGCGCGAAAGCGUGACGGAGCAAUGCCGCGUGCAGGAUGAAGCCCCUCGGGGUGUAAACUGCUGUCAGGGUUUAGGAACACAAUGACCAGACCCAAAGGAAGAGACGACUAACUCUGUGCCAGCAGUCGCGGUAAUACAGAGGUCUCGAGCGUUAAUCGGAAUCACUGGGCUUAAAGCGUACGUAGGCGGAGAUGCAGGCGUCAUGUGAAAUCCCUCGGCUCAACCGAGGAACUGCAUGGCGAACCGCACCUCUUGAGACAAGUAGGGGCUGUCGGAACGAUAGGUGGAGUGGUGAAAUGCGUUGAUAUCUAUCGGAACGCCAAAGGUGAAGACAGGCAGCUGGGCUUGUUCUGACGCUGAGGUACGAAAGCGUGGGGAGCGAACGGGAUUAGAUACCCCGGUAGUCCACGCCGUAAACGAUGUGCACUAGAUCGAGGAGGUUCUGACACCAUUCUCGGUCGA